Molecule: long non-coding RNA, 401 nt
Filed under: Elaeis guineensis (African oil palm)
Lineage: Eukaryota; Viridiplantae; Streptophyta; Magnoliopsida; Arecales; Arecaceae
Description: long non-coding RNA (EGUI_LNC035944)
Source: RNAcentral
UGGAUAUGCCAUAGGAUUGGCUGGUGGAGUUUGUGCAGUGACAGAGAGUGGAGACAAGCCAAAUUAUAAGAGUUGAUAUAGCUAAAUAUACCAUGAUGUUGCUUGCUUGGUUAUGGCAUCCUUGAUUUCUAAAAAUGCUUCCUUCGCUUCCAUGCCCCAUUCAAACUGAUCUUCCUUCCUCAGCAUGAGGCUUGUAGACUUGUGAUGCAGACUUCUCUCGUUGGCCCUAUCGCUUAAGCUCCUCAUCAAAUUGAUCUGAAGAAGUUCUUUCUUAGUGUUUAGGAGUGAUAAAUGAUUGCCCCUUCAAGAUCGAUCCCUUUCUUACCUUUGUUACAUGUGUCCGAGCCAGUACCUUGAGCUUGAGCAGUAAGGAUAGUAUUGACUCAACUUAUGGGGCCUGA